UACGUAGGUGGCAAGCGUUGUCCGGAAUUAUUGGGCGUAAAGCGCGCGCAGGUGGGUGAACAAGUCGGAAGUGAAAUCUUGAGGCUCAACCUCGAGGCUGCUCCCGAAACUGUUCGCCUAGGGACUGGUAGAGGCUGGUAGAAUUCCCGGUGUAGCGGUGGAAUGCGUAGAGAUCGGGAAGAAUACCCGUGGCGAAGGCGGCCAGCUGGGCCGAGGUCCGGACCACUGAGGCGCGAAAGCGUGGGGAGCAAACAGGG
Molecule: ribosomal RNA, 257 nt
Filed under: uncultured bacterium
Lineage: Bacteria
Description: partial 16S ribosomal RNA
Rfam family: Bacterial small subunit ribosomal RNA
Source: RNAcentral